AAUAGAAUCGUACCGUCCCAACUAAAAAAAAAUUCAUACAACACAAUACAACAAUCAAGCCAAGCAUCCAAAUUAAGUUUUACACAUUUUCCAGUUUCAAGUGGCAAUCCAAAAUAAAAAGUACCUUAUCCGAAUUUAACACACUACAGCCCACACAAUUAGUCAUAGUAUACAUAUACAUCCCAAAACGAAACAUAGAUAAAUUUUAAAACUUUCAAUUUCCAGAACCUGUCAAGGAAAACAAAUAAACGUGGGGUGAGUUAAAACUCAGUGGUGCCCCAAAACAUGCAAUCAGAUAAAACAAAUAUCACGUAUCGAUUUUACUUAAAGUAAACAAAUAGGAACGCGUGUAACAGCACAAGAUAGGAUACAGGGCUCUCAGGAGCCAUUCUCCUUGCUUGAUCAGAAAUUACCGUAGUCGACCCUCCGUCAACUCUCACUACUUAAAAUCCAUGUAGAUACUCUUAUUUUUCUUAGCUCCGGCCACCGAACAUACCCCAACUCCGGGCCCGCACGACAAAAUAAAUGAGAGCGGUAGUACUCGAGUAUACCUGGAACUGGUCGAGGAAUUUUCCCAACGACGUUGCAUCCAGCAAGAGAUUAGUAUAGACUGGUCGAGGGAUUCACCCAACGACGUUGCGUCCAGCAUGUAGAUAGUGCAAGCAGGAUUUUCACGAAAACAUUUCAAGCAAGUCUCCACUCGAACGGCUAAUGUGGUAAAGUACACAUAGCUCACUUCGAUAGAUCAAAACCAUAUUUCUAAAUAUCACAUAUCAAGCCGAGAAAGCGCAUUAAUCAGGUAAGCAUAGAACAAGCAGGGACACUCACCAAGAGUGAAGUUCAAAGGUCAAGUCGGGAAUCGUAGUCCAAGUCCUCGCUAAAUCCUAGAAAUCCAAGUUUUAAGAACUAUAAGUUUUACUAAGCAAACUCUUGACUUCAAACAUAUAAAAGAUUAUCUUGUAUUAAACUAGUUUAUUUCCCUGAAACAAAUCAAUAAAUUUCUUAAACAUCAAGACUAGUAAGGAAUAAAGUGUUUCAUGUGGUUUCUUUAAAGAUAUUUUCCUCUGGAGGCAAACUAUAACCAAAUUGGUUCAAACGGGUUUUCUUGCCGAAUAAGUUUUCUAUGCCUUUUAUUUGAAAUUAUUUAAAUCUAGUAUUUUUUUUUCCAAAUUUCCUUUAAAACAACUAGUCAAGGAUAGUUUCAUGAAAACUUAAAGUUUAAAAGUUAAAUACAAUUACUCCCUAAAGGUAGUAAAACUAGCUUAAGCAAAAUAAAAGAAUUAACUAGUCGGCAAGGUUUUAAAAGUCCCAAUAUCUAACUUUUUUUUUUAAUAGUACAUACUAAACCCAAAUUCCAUCACUUGAUAUUAAAGUUGAGUAUUCCCACAAAAAUUUAAUUUUGAAAGUAUUCAAGUUCAAGAAUAAUCAAAACGGUCUUCACGAUUCUAGCUCAUUUGCACAAUGGAUUCCCAGGUCACCAAGAUUGAAACAUUACAAACCAAAUAUCAAUUUUACUAGGGUUUCAUCAAUCAUUAGCCCUAGGUCUCAACAAAUUCCAGUACAAUUAAAAUUCAACAAAGGAAGUCCAGGUACUAAAGCAAAUCCCAAGUCACAACCCAUGGACUUUCCAAGUACAUUUCAGCCAACCACUUGAGCCGAUUCACCAAAAAUUAAAUUAUUGCAAAACUAUUCGAAUGGUCAAGAGCUUCAUCAAUCAUUAACUCUUGACAACCAAUACUCGCUUCAAACACCAAUCCAUUCAAAAUAAGAAUAAAAACUACAGCCCCCUUGACUCCCAAGUAGUUCUAAAAUUCAGAUUUUCUUUUCUUGAUUCGGUAGUCAAGAAAAACCCAGCAAAAUUCAAUCCAAGAUGUCCAUUAUACCUUUAACUUUUACUUGCUAAAUUCACUAAACACAUAGCUUAUCAUCUGUCCAAACCAAGCUAAAGUAAAUAAUACACCAAUCCAACAAAUAAACUCACCAAACGUCCCAACCAGUUCGGUCAUGCUGGAAAAUAUUUUUCCUUCAAGAAUUGCUUUAGUUCAUGUUCCACAAAUCAAACAAUUAUGAAAAUUAUACUGUUGUAAAAUAGAUUUUUAAUACUAUCACAUCCCAGAAGACACUUUUCAGAGAUUCAAAUCACAAAUAGACCAAAUAUUCGAUCCAUAUCAAGAAUUCAGUUUCCUGAAGAAACAGGACAUUCAAGCAGGACAACCUACUUUGAGGAGUCACGUACAGCAGUACACAUGGAGGAAAAAUAUGAAAUUUCUACAAAACAAAGGCCCAUGAUUCUAGUUUCAAAUGCCACUGACGGCACCUCAAUCGGAUUUUCCUACACCAAGAUAUAAGCAUUUUACUGAGACUGGUCAGUGAAAUCCGAAAAUCUGGAAACUCAUUUUUCACUCGUGAAAAACUCCUUUUUCUCUUUUAAAACCAUAAGACUUUUAUUCAAACCAACCAUACAUCUAAGUAUGACAUUCAUACCAGCAUAUACCAAAGCAAAUAACGCUUAAUUCCAGUAAAUUAUUCCACCAAAAAGUCCCAUAAAUCUGUCAUCAGCUAAGAUAAAAUUUUCCAGCAAUUGAUAGUUUAUUUAUAUAGCUUUUGUUCCUAAUUUUCUUCAAUUCUUACCUCAGCUCAACAUGCAAAAGAUGAUUAGCAAGCUUCAAGCAAAUCUUAAACAUCCAAUAUGAAAAUCUUAAUUAAAAAUUCGGAAACAAAACUAAUUAAAUGCUCAACUUCCUUCUCUCGACCAAGCUGGAAUAUUUUGCAGCAGAAAAUUUCUCUCGGUUUCAAUCCACAAUUCAACUUUUCCUCAGGUUUUCUUCCAUUAAACUUCACUUAAUACUUAAAGCUAACAAUCUACAUGCAAUUCAUAACAAAAUUUUCCAUUUGACAGCAAUUACGGAUGCAAACAAACAUGAAGUCUCUCGGCUAUUCCAGAAAAUUUCCAGCAACUUAGUUAGUCGCAAAUCUGGAUUUUUUUCCUAAAACUUUAUUUUUUUUUGUACUCAAAACUAACAUGCAUGACUAAUCAACGUAUUUACUAUCAGUCCUAGUUCAAAUUAGGUUUGGAUAUCAACAACAUUCAACGACAAAUCCAGAAUUUUGUUCACUACUCUCGGAUAAGCUUGCAUGCAGCAGAUUCCUGUUUCUUUUUUUUUUCUUCUGGCAUAAUCCGGCUAGUUAGCUUCAUGCGUGGUUUAAACAUCUUGUUUUCAGUUAGUUAAACACAUUUCUAAUCUCAGAUUACCUCAGAGGAACAAAUUUAAAGCUGCAUUGCUAGAUUAAACUCUCGGCAACUUCAAUUCUUUCCAAACCAGAUUUCUUAAGUCUCAAUUCCUCAUCUAACCUCACAAACCCACAUGCAUGCGUAUAGACAGCUUCAUCAACCCGUAAACAAUUUAUCUAAGUCCAGAACUUACCUUAGCCUGAAGCCUAAAACACACAGCUAGCAGCUGCAACAAUUCUCUCUCUCGGCUGUCCAGAAAAAAAAAUGCAGACCUCUAGUUCUCUCUUCCUCUCUCCCUUGCUCUGGCUUGCGGCUGGAUGAAGGAACUCUGGUCUCAAGCUCUGCACCAGCUCACAGAUGGAAGACAGACCGAAUCACAAGUCCCUCUCUUCCCUCUCUGGUUUACGGACAGAAAAGAAAAGAAACAGGAAGCUCGGCUCACUCACCAGAAAUCUGAAAAUUUUCCUGUUCACCCUCUCGGCCCUCGGCUCGCACAAGUUUUGGUUGUGGUAGUUGCGGCUGGAACCUGGUUGCAGCUGACCGAGAUGGAGGUGCAGAAUGAUGAAGCUCACUCACGGUUUUCUCCCUGGUUUCACUCCAGCUCACGGACAGAACUAGAGAAUUUGGCAGCCGCGGUUUCCUCCUCUUCGAUACACACGAGGUGAGUCUCUCCCUCUCUUUUGCUCUCAGUUCGAAAACUGGGUGGAGUUAUGGAGUGUGUUGUGGUCUGAGGGGAAUUUGUGCAGAGAAAUGGAAUG
RNAcentral lists this long non-coding RNA (3990 nucleotides) under Coffea arabica (coffee). RNAcentral describes it as "long non-coding RNA (CARA_LNC005703)". The record is from RNAcentral. Lineage: Eukaryota; Viridiplantae; Streptophyta; Magnoliopsida; Gentianales; Rubiaceae.